AAUAAACCACCCGUUCACGUAAGAUCACAGAAGUUAAGCAACGUCAAGCCUGGUCAGUACCUAGAGGGGUGACGGCUUCGGAAUGCCAGGUGUUGUAAG
This is a non-coding RNA of Acanthosepion pharaonis, 99 nucleotides long. The record is from the annotation of a GenBank genome assembly. NCBI's taxonomy places the organism in Eukaryota, Metazoa, Mollusca, Cephalopoda, Sepiida, Sepiidae.